RNAcentral lists this ribosomal RNA (460 nucleotides) under uncultured bacterium. RNAcentral's name for it is "partial 16S ribosomal RNA". It matches the Rfam family "Bacterial small subunit ribosomal RNA", at positions 338 to 795 of the family's 1533-position model. The record is from RNAcentral.
CCUACGGGGGGCAGCAGUGAGGAAUAUUGGUCAAUGGGCGCUAGCCUGAACCAGCCAAGUAGCGUGAAGGAUGACUGCCCUAUGGGUUGUAAACUUCUUUUAUAUGGGAAUAAAGUGCAGUAUGUAUACUGCUUUGCAUGUACCUUAUGAAUAAGGAUCGGAUAACUCCGUGCCAGCAGCCGCGGUAAUACGGAGGAUCCGAGCGUUAUCCGGAUUUAUUGGGUUUAAAGGGAGCGUAGGCGGGUGGUUAAGUCAGUUGUGAAAGUUUGCGGCUCAACCGUAAAAUUGCAGUUGAUACUGGCAUCCUUGAGUACAGUAGAGGGAGGCGGAAUUCGAGGUGUAGCGGUGAAAUGCGUAGAGAUCACGAAGAACUCCGAUUGCGAAGGCAGCCUGCUGGACUGUAACUGACGCUGAUGCUCGAAAGUGUGGGUAGCAAACAGGAUUAGAUACCCUAGUAGUC